This 2154-nucleotide long non-coding RNA is filed under the name Macaca nemestrina (pig-tailed macaque). Its description in RNAcentral is "lncRNA (ENSMNEG00000045583.1)". Lineage: Eukaryota; Metazoa; Chordata; Mammalia; Primates; Cercopithecidae. The record is from RNAcentral.
CUUUAUUUAAAGUGGGGCCUCUUGUUAGAUGGGGAUAAGUUAUACAGAAAUGCAUGUUGACAUGCUUGGUGCUUAAACUCACACAGUCCCCACACCACAGGAAGAAACAGCUGGCCAUAGCCUAACCAUCAGGGCCAAGGGCAAAUUGCAUAACAAAAAGUUUGCCUUUAUUCCCUCCACAUCCAAACUUUGGUGGUCAAGUCUGUGGACAGAUCUGAAGACGGGGUUUCCGCUUCCUGAAGCCCGACACUCUUUGUUCACUGUCUGACCUUUGGAAGGGUGAAGGAGCCCUGCCCAGCAAAGGUGGGCAGCAGAGGUUGACCUGUGGACACCUCCUUCCUGUAGCCCUGGCUCUCUCACUGGGCACUGCCUCUCCCACCCUUGGGCGCGAGUAGAGAGAUGGGCAGGAUCUCUGGCAGGAAAGGGGGUCCAGGCCCUCGACUUCCCUGAGGUUAGAUGGAGGGGCCUCAGAGUGGUUCUUGAAUGCGUCAGCCGCUGCCCAUGUGGGGUUGCUGAGCUCUUUGGAUAGAGCUGGUUGGAAUUGAAAAGUGCUAGAAGUUUAAAUACAGAGUCACUUUAAAAAAUUGAGUACCCCAAACACCUUCAUUAAUAAUUUCAUAUUGCUCACAUAUUUAAGUGAUAAUAUUUUGGAUAUAUUGGGUUAAAGUAUCACCAUCAAUUUCACCUGCUUUCCUUUCAUGAUGCCACCAGACUACUGUAAAUGACACAUGCGGCUCACAUUUUAUUCCUAUCGGACAUUUCUGACUUAGAGGACUCCGUCUUUUUUCAAAUCUCAUGCUGCCUUCUCAAGGGACCAGAGGCCGUGAAGGUUAUGAAAUCUGAAAUUUUAAAAGAAUCGUUAUUAUCUAAUUUCCAAUUUUAAAUAUUACAUAUAUUACUCAUAAAUUGAUAUAACCUUAUGGGCACGGUUAAAUGCCAAUGCCCUGGGCAGCCCCAGGUCCCAGCACAGGGAGUCAGCCCUGCCUUGAAAGGGCUGCAGACAACAGUCAUUCAUUCCGGCAUCAUUCAGCCACACCUGUGAUCGCAUCACCUGUCACUCGGGGGCAAGGGGGCGGGGCCUGGAGCCCUAUCCAAUCAGCGGCACCGUGGUCGAGCCUGUCCAAUCAGGCGCACAGCCGAAAAAGGGGAGCAGUUCCUUCAGCCUGUGCUGGCUUUUUCCUUGGCCAGGUGUGCUUUCCCGCUUGGUGCGCCUCCGCUGCUCUUUCUCCUUCGUUCGGCAGCCUCCUUUGUCCUGUGACCUGCAGAGCCACCAUCACUCAUGUUCUUGAAUGGGAAUGGCCUGAAGAGCCUGAAAAAGGAGCGUGAAAGAGGAAGGAGGAGGCUGAGCCACCCUGGGAACAUAGGCUGGAUAAGUCCAAGCCAGGAGAUGACACCACUAAAUAGAAGUCACCACUCAGGAUUCCGGCUUUUCUGUGAAGAUCCUGGCCCCGAGAUCUAGCUCUUCUCCCUGCAGGUAUGAUGGAGGAGUGGAGCUGGUGAUCAGGCCUGAGCCUGCUGGGGAGGAUGAGGCUGGAAAGCCCAGCUUUGCCUUAGCUCCUCCUGACCCCGUGCUAACAUGGUGGACCUGGGAAUGGAGUCCAGGUUCAGUUACUGCCUUAUUGCUAGAGGACAGCUACCAACUGGGCCUACUAGCCCUGUUCAGGGAGAGGAGUGGGAGCGGGUGGGUAGUGUCAGGUCCCAGGACACCCUAGACUCUUGCUCUGUGCCCUCAGGCAAGUCACCUCUCUCUGGACCAAGACCUUACCAUCUGUCACCAGGGCCUGGGGGGUGGUAUUGGGUGUUCUCCAAGGACAGAGCCAACCAGAGGACUUGCAGGCUGGUAACUUGGUGGGCAGCCAGACAAGGCCCUCUCAUGUCCUCUCUGCUCCCAGGCUUGGGCCCUGGAGCACCCCUUCAGGAAGGAAAAGGCCAUUUCCCCUAGCGUGCUCGGCCCUUGGCACUAGGCAAGGGCAAGAGCAAGCCUGUCUUUCUCCCUCCCCGCUUUCUUCCAACUCCCUCUCCUCUGCUCGGGGGUUGCUCUUAGGCUGCAGGAAGAGUCAGUGGGGCCAGGCUCUGUCCUGCACUUGGGCACACAGGUGCCAAUGGGCAGGCUGUAUAUGGACAGAGCCUGGAAUGUAAAAGCCAAAAAGUGGG